AUUGAACGCUGGCGGCAGGCCUAACACAUGCAAGUCGAGCGGAUGAAGGGAGCUUGCUCCUGGAUUCAGCGGCGGACGGGUGAGUAAUGCCUAGGAAUCUGCCUGGUAGUGGGGGAUAACGUCCGGAAACGGGCGCUAAUACCGCAUACGUCCUGAGGGAGAAAGUGGGGGAUCUUCGGACCUCACGCUAUCAGAUGAGCCUAGGUCGGAUUAGCUAGUUGGUGGGGUAAAGGCCUACCAAGGCGACGAUCCGUAACUGGUCUGAGAGGAUGAUCAGUCACACUGGAACUGAGACACGGUCCAGACUCCUACGGGAGGCAGCAGUGGGGAAUAUUGGACAAUGGGCGAAAGCCUGAUCCAGCCAUGCCGCGUGUGCGAAGAAGGUCUUCGGAUUGUAAAGCACUUUAAGUUGGGAGGAAGGGCAGUAAGUUAAUACCUUGCUGUUUUGACGUUACCAGCAGAAUAAGCACCGGCUAACUUCGU
RNAcentral lists this ribosomal RNA (483 nucleotides) under uncultured bacterium. RNAcentral describes it as "partial 16S ribosomal RNA". It matches the Rfam family "Bacterial small subunit ribosomal RNA", at positions 30 to 506 of the family's 1533-position model. The record is from RNAcentral.